GAUGAACGCUGGCGGCGUGCCUAAUACAUGCAAGUCGAGCGGACGGACGAUAAUCUUGCUUCUCUCAUGUUAGCGGCGGACGGGAGAGUCACACGUGUAUAACCUACCUAUAUUACUGAUAUAAUUUCGGGACACCGGCUCAAAUACCGGAUAAUAUUUUGAACCGCAUGGUUCAAUAGUGAAAUACGGCCUUGCGGUCUCUAAUCGAUGGUUCCGCGCUGCUUUGGAUAGUUGGUAAGGUAACGGCUUACCAAGGCAACGAUGCAUGGCCGACCUGAGGGGGUGAUCGGCCACACUGGAAGGGAGACACGGUCAAGACUCCUAAGGGAGGCAGCAGAGGCGAAUCGUCGGCAAUGGGGGGGAGCCUGACGCAGCAAGGGCGAGUGAGUGAUGAAGGUCUUCGGAUCGUAAAAACCUGUUAUUAGGGAAGAACAGAUGUGUAAGUAGCUGUGCAGAUCGUGACGGUACCGAGUCAGAAAGCCCCGGCUAACUACGUG
This 497-nucleotide ribosomal RNA is filed under the name uncultured bacterium. RNAcentral's name for it is "partial 16S ribosomal RNA". It matches the Rfam family "Bacterial small subunit ribosomal RNA", at positions 28 to 507 of the family's 1533-position model. The record is from RNAcentral.